Molecule: long non-coding RNA, 185 nt
Organism: Telopea speciosissima
Lineage: Eukaryota; Viridiplantae; Streptophyta; Magnoliopsida; Proteales; Proteaceae
Exons: 3
Source: RefSeq, a predicted model, not a curated record
UGUUGUCCUUGCUUGCCUUGCUGUGAGUAGCAUUGUAUAAGAAGUGGAGGAUGAAGGGUGUGUGUUGCUUCUUGAUGAUAAAUGAUACAGAACAGUAGUAAGAAGGAAGAAGAAAACAAUACAGUGGGACUUCAUUAUAAAAUAGCUCAAAUGGAAGCCUUCUUCCUUGUAGCCCGCCAUGCCAC